Salvelinus sp. IW2-2015 is the source of this 758-nucleotide long non-coding RNA. RefSeq lists it as uncharacterized. NCBI's taxonomy places the organism in Eukaryota, Metazoa, Chordata, Actinopteri, Salmoniformes, Salmonidae. The record is from RefSeq and is a predicted model, not a curated record.
UUUGAAUAAGGACUCAACUCUUUUGCCAGUUCACUUCACCUAUUUUGUGGACAGAGUCCUCUUUGCAUGCACAUUGCUAUGUUAAGAAAAGAACCAAGAUCUUUUUCCAACAUACACUCUGGGUUUUUACAAAGUGCAGGACAAGCCAUUUAAUCAGAAUGUGUUAUCUGACUGCUACUAUUAGACAUAAUUCUAAAUCAGAAGAUACUGUUAACAUGUACAUUUGAUGGCUAACAAAAUAAAUAGUAAUAUAAUAACUGCAGAAUAAAUAAUGCUGCAACUGAAAAUUGUACACACAAGGUAGGCUACUGCUCCUUUAAAAGCUAGAAUAGAUUUUGUACCCAAUGUUGCGAUUUUCACCAAAUAUAUUGUCUUCUCACACUAUUAAAAUAGCGUAUGAAGCUCUUAGCCUAGAUCACAUAUUACAAACAAAUACUAUGACCUAAAAACGAAUUUCUGUGCGUCCUUGACAAUCGCUAAUAAAAAAAAAAUUAUGCACAUUUGUACGUAAUCUGGAGCGGCAGGCAGCCUAGUGGUUAGAGCGUUGGACUAUUAACCGAAAGGUUGCAAAUUCAAAUCCCCCAGCUGACAAGAACCUGUCUGGUUCACCACCAGACCAACACCUGUUAACUCCUCUGGCUCUCUCUCUACCACCACAGAACCUGUCUGGAAAUGAGGGAUGAGCGCCUGUUCGGGUGUCUGAAGUACAUCUCUCUCGUCUGACUCAUUAAAGAGAAAUUCUUUGUCCAGUUCAAGGU